GCCGAGGUAGCUCAGUUGGUAGAGCAUUGCACUGAAAAUGCAAGGGUCGUCAGUUCAAGUCUGACCCUCGGCA
This 73-nucleotide transfer RNA is filed under the name Chloroflexota bacterium. RNAcentral's name for it is "Chloroflexi bacterium tRNA-Phe". It matches the Rfam family "tRNA". From Rfam's summary of the family: Transfer RNA (tRNA) molecules are approximately 80 nucleotides in length. Their secondary structure includes four short double-helical elements and three loops (D, anti-codon, and T loops). Further hydrogen bonds mediate the characteristic L-shaped molecular structure. tRNAs have two regions of fundamental functional importance: the anti-codon, which is responsible for specific mRNA codon recognition, and the 3' end, to which the tRNAs corresponding amino acid is attached (by aminoacyl-tRNA synthetases). tRNAs cope with the degeneracy of the genetic code in two manners: having more than one tRNA (with a specific anti-codon) for a particular amino acid; and 'wobble' base-pairing, i.e. permitting non-standard base-pairing at the 3rd anti-codon position. The record is from RNAcentral. Lineage: Bacteria; Bacillati; Chloroflexota.